Molecule: ribosomal RNA, 535 nt
Filed under: uncultured Acidobacteriota bacterium
Lineage: Bacteria; Pseudomonadati; Acidobacteriota
Description: bacterial SSU rRNA
Rfam family: Bacterial small subunit ribosomal RNA
Source: RNAcentral
UUGAUCCUGGCUCAGAAUCAACGCUGGCGGCGUGCCUAACACAUGCAAGUCGAACGCGAAAGCCCCGCAAGGGGUAAGUAGAGUGGCGAACGGGUGAGUUACACGUGGGUGACCUACCUUCGAAUGGGGGAUAACGUCCCGAAAGGGACUCUAAUACCGCAUAACAUCCUGCCUUUGAACAGGUGGAGAUCAAAGCCGGUGAUCGCAAGACCUGGCGUUUGAAGAGGGGCCCGCGUCUGAUUAGCUAGUUGGUGAGGUAACGGCUCACCAAGGCGACGAUCAGUAUCCGGCCUGAGAGGUCGGACGGACACACUGGGACUGAGACACGGCCCAGACUCCUACGGGAGGCUGCAGUGGGGAAUUGUUCGCAAUGGGCGCAAGCCUGACGACGCAACGCCGUGUGGAGGAUGAAGGUCUUCGGAUUGUAAACUCCUGUUGCCCGGGACGAAUAGUUUCGACCUAACACGUCGAGAUCUGACGGUACCGGGUGAGGAAGCCCUGGCUAACUCUGUGCCAGCAGCCGCGGUAAUAAGGU